Oreochromis aureus is the source of this 779-nucleotide long non-coding RNA. The record is from Ensembl. Lineage: Eukaryota; Metazoa; Chordata; Actinopteri; Cichliformes; Cichlidae.
GCAAAAACCAAAACCAUGUGAAUAUCCCACCUCUGUCAAACCAUUUAAACAUUAACUGAGCUUUUUAUAUCAGGUACAAGAGGUUUGCAGAGCAGGUGAUCGAAGAGGGACACAAGGAAGCAGAGAUUAGGAGAGAGGAGGCAAAAGAGGAGGUGCAGAGGAGAGUGAAGGUGGUGACACAGGAGGUGCAGAGCUUGAGCAGGAGAAAGGAGGAGGUGACAGUGUGUCAGAUGAGCAAAGAGAGAAAGGCUGCACAUGGAUGAGCAGGUUCAACACAAUAAACAACAGCAGACACGUGGUGUGUGUGCGGGUGUCUGCCUCUUAUAACCACAGUGAUUCUCCUGUGGUUUGAAAUCUCACGUGAUCUUGUGACGUGAUCACGAGUCCAAACACUAACAGGUCACCUCAACAAGAACAGAUUCAAUCCUAAUGAUUUAGUUACCAUAGAAACAUGAAAUGAUUUGGUUGACAGCACAUGUCAGACUGUUGUAAACGUCACAGCCACACACUCACACUUUCUGAGAGUUUUUAACAUGAUGGAUGUGAAACACUGAGUGAUGCUUCAUCACAUUCACACUCACAGCUCCUCUGUCAGUGUCUCAGCUCUGCUGGCAGCCUGGAGUCACCUGUAACAUGACUGUGGGCUGAUGCUGAACUCUGACUCUUAUAUGUGUGUUAUUAACCUCAGAGCUGCUCAAACUGAGGGAGGCGGGACUUACAGCAAAGGAAGUGAUGUCAGAGAAUAAAAAGCCUUUUAGUCCUGAGUGAGCGACAGGUUU